This 727-nucleotide ribosomal RNA is filed under the name uncultured bacterium. RNAcentral describes it as "bacterial SSU rRNA". It matches the Rfam family "Bacterial small subunit ribosomal RNA", at positions 789 to 1515 of the family's 1533-position model. The record is from RNAcentral.
GGUAGUCCACGCCGUAAACGAUGUCGACUUGGAGGUUGUGCCCUUGAGGCGUGGCUUCCGGAGCUAACGCGUUAAGUCGACCGCCUGGGGAGUACGGCCGCAAGGUUAAAACUCAAAUGAAUUGACGGGGGCCCGCACAAGCGGUGGAGCAUGUGGUUUAAUUCGAUGCAACGCGAAGAACCUUACCUACUCUUGACAUCCAGAGAACUUAGCAGAGAUGCUUUGGUGCCUUCGGGAACUCUGAGACAGGUGCUGCAUGGCUGUCGUCAGCUCGUGUUGUGAAAUGUUGGGUUAAGUCCCGCAACGAGCGCAACCCUUAUCCUUUGUUGCCAGCGGUUAGGCCGGGAACUCAAAGGAGACUGCCAGUGAUAAACUGGAGGAAGGUGGGGAUGACGUCAAGUCAUCAUGGCCCUUACGAGUAGGGCUACACACGUGCUACAAUGGCGCAUACAAAGAGAAGCGACCUCGCGAGAGCAAGCGGACCUCAUAAAGUGCGUCGUAGUCCGGAUUGGAGUCUGCAACUCGACUCCAUGAAGUCGGAAUCGCUAGUAAUCGUAGAUCAGAAUGCUACGGUGAAUACGUUCCCGGGCCUUGUACACACCGCCCGUCACACCAUGGGAGUGGGUUGCAAAAGAAGUAGGUAGCUUAACCUUCGGGAGGGCGCUUACCACUUUGUGAUUCAUGAGCUGGGGUGAAGUCGUAACAAGGUAACCGUAGGGGAACCUGC